GAAGGUGGCGAGCGUUGUUCGGUGUCACUGGGCUUAAAGCGUGUGUAGGCGGAAAAGUAAGCGUUUUGUGAAAUCCCCCGGCUUAACCGGGGAACUGCUCGACGUACUGCUUUUCUUGAGGCAAGUAGGGGUGCAUGGAACUCUUGGUGGAGCGGUGGAAUGCGUAGAUAUCAAGAGGAACGCCGGUGGAGAAAUCGGUGCACUGGGCUUGUUCAGACGCUGAGACACGAAAGCGUGGGGAGCGAACGGGAUUAGAUACCCCGGUAGUCCACGCCGUAAACGAUGUCUACUAGGUUGUGGGGGUUCUGACACUCGCACGGCCGAAGCAAAAGUGUUAAGUAGACCGCCUGGGGAGUACGGUCGCAAGGCUA
This 371-nucleotide ribosomal RNA is filed under the name uncultured organism. RNAcentral's name for it is "partial 16S ribosomal RNA". It matches the Rfam family "Bacterial small subunit ribosomal RNA", at positions 527 to 896 of the family's 1533-position model. The record is from RNAcentral.